CUUAUUUCGAAAACCUAAAAUUUCUCUCUAAAUUUCCUUCUCCUCUUGCGACGGCGCCGAGUUCCUUCUCCAAGCGAUUUCUGCUCGGGCGAAAGAGGCGGCGGAGCUAAGUUUCCUUUCUUCGGCGCCGGCCAAGGGGUGUUCCCGCGAGAUCCUCACACGUUCGUGGCCAUCUCGUCGAUGGGAGCACGCGGACGUGAGGAAACGCCGGAUUUGGAGCUCACCCGAAACCCUAGCACCUCUCUUUUUCGGUUGUAAGUCCAAGAAAAUGAAGAUAAAGGGAAAGAAAAGAUACAGUGAAGGAAGGCGAUAAGGAGAUGCAAGAGGAGUGUGUGAUGUGUGGACUAUGGAGGUCCUUGGGACUUAGCUAAAGAACUCAUUUAGUUUAAGAAUUUGUUUAGUUUAAUUUCUUAUUAAGUUGAUAAGAGAAUUAUGUAGUAAGAGGUUAUGUCUUCGGUUUUUCAUUAUCUGCAUGAUUUGAAUUAUUAAA
Zingiber officinale is the source of this 490-nucleotide long non-coding RNA. RefSeq lists it as uncharacterized. The transcript is spliced from 2 exons. The record is from RefSeq and is a predicted model, not a curated record. NCBI's taxonomy places the organism in Eukaryota, Viridiplantae, Streptophyta, Magnoliopsida, Zingiberales, Zingiberaceae.